UCUUUAGUACAAGUAUACCAUGCAACAUUUGGGACAUACUUACACUAAAA
Molecule: microRNA precursor, 50 nt
Filed under: Marmota monax (woodchuck)
Lineage: Eukaryota; Metazoa; Chordata; Mammalia; Rodentia; Sciuridae
Source: RNAcentral